UUUUUUUUCCCCCCGCUUUGGUGAACUCGCAGUACUUGGGCUGAGCCCGAAAUCUCGCGAGAUGCUGCAGGCGUCAGUGCGGCUUCCCACUAGGCGCGUGGUACCCGAGGCCGGGCCGGAGCCGCAGGCCAGCCGCGAUUCCUUCGGGCGAUGCUGGGGGCUUUCCGGUCGGGGCCGCAGCCGCUUCCGGAGCCGCGGGCGAGGUGCGUUCCCCAGCCUGGUUUGCUCUGGGCUCUGACCCGCCGCCGCGAAUCUCCGCUCGUAACUCCGGGCCUGAACCUGGAGGAGGGAGGAUUUCCUCUGUGCAGCUUUCGAGCGGUAGACUCACCCUGCCAGGCAGACCUAGAUUGGCAUAACCAGAGAUCAGUUCCAGUUGUGAUGCAGUGGGUGUCUACACACUUCUGAUGACACCUUUAUUUUAAAAGCUGAUGUUCCAAGAUUUUUAGGGCAGUUUUUAGUGUCAUUAUGUUGCUGCUACAUAUUUGGAAGAUGGAACAAGCCCAGACAAAGGAGGAUUCUUUUUUACUCAUCUUAAAUCCAUUUUAUUUUCCUUCAUCUGAGCCCCUUAAAACUAAUGUGUUACUGGUGCAAGCGGUCUUCUCUGUCUUCUUUAUGGCCAGUAAAAUUCUCCAGAAGAGAUUUAUGGCAGCCUCACUCCCAGUAGUUUCUGCAUUUAGUGAGAUAAGCCACAGCAAUUGUCUGCUAUUUUAAAAGCACUGUGAUGCUUAAAUAUUCCAGCUGCUACAUCGGACAGGUGUCUGAUGAUCCUGAGAACAGUCAUCAAAAAGUAGAACUUGAGCCUGGAAUACAUUCUCUGGCAUAGCCAUAGUCAAUCACCAGUAUAAUUAAUGUAAAUGGACACUGGAUAGCUUUUUUGUGAAUUCUGAUGCAGCACAAAGAGACUUUAAUUGUUUCCAAAAAGAAAAUGUCUGAGAUUAAAAUCUAGAGUUUUAUGACUUAGAGGAAAUUUUAUAGCUUUACUCCAAAAAGGGUAAGGCACAAAAUAUUCUGUGCCAAAGGAUGCAUAUUUGGUAUUUUUCCUAUGAAUCCCUUAGUGUAAGUGGCAUGAUGAAAUUUUCUUGGUUUCAACACAGAUGAUGUGUUGAGGUAGUGUUGAGGCUGAGAGGUGGGUGGGAUGGGUCUUGGAGAAGGAAAAGAUUUGUUUUGCAAGGUUUGUGGAGAGCUGAUGCGGUAGUGAGGCUAAGACGAGGGGUAUUUACUUGCUACUUACAUUGAGUCCACUAACAUCUGCAGCACUUUGCUUGCAUUAUCCACGCAAUUAUCACGGGAAACCUAUAAAAUAAGUAUUCCUCUCCUCAUUUUACAAAUAGGGAAGCAGAUAAGAUUUAGAAAAUUUCCCAAACUCACACAAUUAUUAAAUGACAGAACUAGGACUCAAACCCAGGUUUUAUUAAUUUUAGAGACAUGUUUUUAACCACUUGGACACUGCCAACCAUGGAAUUGUUGGUAUGAAAAAAACGUACUCUUGAGUUAUAUUAUCCAUGGUCUUAAUAUCAGAGAAGUGCAGUUGAGUCGCUAUUAAAGAAUAUGGUAAAAUUAUAAAAUGGAUACUAUACAAAGGUAUAAAAAUAUUAUAAAUACUUAUGUUUGGGGUAAAAGGAUCAAAGUAGCCAUGCUCAGUGGAAGGGUAAGGAACUCUUAGCAGAGAUUGAUUAAUUGGGAGAUAAUUGAUUAAUUGGGAGUUGAUUGAUUAAUUGGGAUUUAUUAAUUUGGGAGUAGGUAGGAAGAUAGGAAGUUGUAUAAAAUAAGGGAGAGAUAACUUAGUACCUGGAAAAAAAGAAAUGGAAAUAGGUAGAAGCUAAGAGUUCAAUUAAAAAAAAGGAAUAAAAGAUAUUGGAAGGGAACGAUGAAUGUAGCAUGGAAGAUCCAAGAUGAUGGGAGUUCAGGGGCUAAUUACAGCUAUGGGGAAAAAGUAAUGUAUAAGCUGGAAGCCAGAGAUAAGAGCCAUGUAAAUGAAGAAGUUGGGCCCCAAUAGGAAAGAAUUAUAAGGACUAGAAGGAGCAGGAGCCAUGUGGAAAAAUAUCAUGUAGUACUUUUAAGCUUGAUCUGUCAUCUGUAGCAAAACCAGCAUGCUUGAGUACUGAAUUGACCUGACUGAACUAUGUUGAAAUGUACUGUGGUUUUAUAUCCAUAUGCACUUGGUCUGUGGAGUUGUGGGAAAAGCAUCAGUGAGUAGGAAGCCCAAGGAUUUGGGUCAAGUAUUAAAUAUGCUAUUUACUGUCUAGCUAUGUGACCUUAUAUAAGUCACUUGUGGUCUCUGAGCCUUCAUGUAUUCAUCCAUAAGAUGAGUUGUUGUUUAUAUUAAAUGGGAUGUGGUAUGUUAAAGAGCUGAAUGCAUAGUGAUACAGAAUUACUUUCUGUAAUACUAUUUUUUAAAUAUUUUAAAUGAAAAAUUAAUGAACUUAUAAAUUAAAAGAUUCAAAAGGGAUAAAAAGGUAUACAAUGAAAAGCAAUUCUCCUUCCCACCAGUAACUCUGUCCUACUCCUUAGGACAUUCACCAUAAACAGAUAUCCUGAAUUCUUCUAGAAAUAUUAUAUAUAAAAUCUUAUAUUUCUUAUGUUUCUUUUUUACUAUUUUAAAGGGGAUAAACUAAACUUUGCUUUUUUUCAUAUAAUAAUAUAUUCUGGAGAUCAUUUUCUAAAAGCACAUGUAAACAUACCUCAUUAUUAUAAAGGUUUGAAAAUAUCAAUUUAUUUGACCUGUCCCCUCUCGAUAGAUAAUUAGAUUGUAUCCAUCCCUUUGGUUAUUACCAACAGACACUAAUCACUUAUCAUGUACAUAUAGCCUGUUUUUUAGCAUUGUUAGACAAAGUAGGCAUAUUCCUUUCCAUCCAAGAACUCAUAACCUAGUAAUUGUAGUUGGCUGAUAGCUCAUUGCCCAUACACAAGGAUCUAACACAACCUCUUGAAUAAACAUCCCCCUUAUUCAGAAAUGCCUUUUCCUAUUUCCAUAUUGCAACUUUGCUUACAAAUUUCCAAUCUGUCUUUCUGUUUACAGAAGAUAUACAAAAUUCCUUUUGUAUGAUCUCUUUAUAUCUCUUGAUUUUCUUUUGUGUUUGCUACCAAAGGGCCUGCACAUAGUGAGAAGAUUGUGCAUGAUCUGUGAGCUCUACCACACCUGGAAUUAGGGAUCACCAAUAUGAGAAAAAAAAUUGGAGGUACAAAUAACAUUAUCAUAUGUAAUUGGCAUAUAAAUUACAGAUGUAUCUAUGACUAAAAACCCUGUGGAUAUAAACCAAAUGCAGAUAAAUAUAAUAAAAUAUAUAAAAAUAUAAUCAAAUAAUGAUAGUGCUAUUCAAAUACUUCAAAUUUGCACAGUGAUUUAUUUCUUAAAAUAUGUUAACACAUGUGAGCCAAUACACUGAGGUCACUGGAUAAAUAAACAGAUUCUUGCAAGUGCUUUGGAAAUGAAACUUUUUUUUAUCAUUUUAAUUUU
Molecule: long non-coding RNA, 3457 nt
Filed under: Homo sapiens (human)
Lineage: Eukaryota; Metazoa; Chordata; Mammalia; Primates; Hominidae
Description: PREDICTED lncRNA (TCONS_00219661)
Source: RNAcentral